UACGGAGGGUGCAAGCGUUACCCGGAAUCACUGGGCGUAAAGGGCGUGUAGGCGGAUAUUUAAGUCUGGUUUUAAAGACUGGGGCUCAACCCCAGGAGUGGACUGGAUACUGGAUGUCUUGACCUCUGGAGAGGUAACUGGAAUUCCUGGUGUAGCGGUGGAAUGCGUAGAUACCAGGAGGAACACCAAUGGCGAAGGCAAGUUACUGGACAGAAGGUGACGCUGAGGCGCGAAAGUGUGGGGAGCAAAC
This 250-nucleotide ribosomal RNA is filed under the name uncultured Deinococcus sp. RNAcentral describes it as "partial 16S ribosomal RNA". It matches the Rfam family "Bacterial small subunit ribosomal RNA", at positions 524 to 773 of the family's 1533-position model. Lineage: Bacteria; Thermotogati; Deinococcota; Deinococci; Deinococcales; Deinococcaceae. The record is from RNAcentral.